This 76-nucleotide transfer RNA is filed under the name Bacilli bacterium. RNAcentral's name for it is "tRNA-Asp". It matches the Rfam family "tRNA". Rfam says of the family: Transfer RNA (tRNA) molecules are approximately 80 nucleotides in length. Their secondary structure includes four short double-helical elements and three loops (D, anti-codon, and T loops). Further hydrogen bonds mediate the characteristic L-shaped molecular structure. tRNAs have two regions of fundamental functional importance: the anti-codon, which is responsible for specific mRNA codon recognition, and the 3' end, to which the tRNAs corresponding amino acid is attached (by aminoacyl-tRNA synthetases). tRNAs cope with the degeneracy of the genetic code in two manners: having more than one tRNA (with a specific anti-codon) for a particular amino acid; and 'wobble' base-pairing, i.e. permitting non-standard base-pairing at the 3rd anti-codon position. RNAcentral also lists the same sequence under 1 other name. Lineage: Bacteria; Bacillati; Bacillota; Bacilli. The record is from RNAcentral.
GGAACAUUGGUCUAUCGGUUUAUGAUGCCUCCCUGUCACGGAGGCGAGACGAGUUCGACUCUCGUAUGUUCCGCCA